AAGACUUUAGGUAUGAUCCAGAGUACCACGGGACACGUGAAACCCUGUGGGAAGCAGGAGGGACCACCCUCCAAGGCUAAAUACUACCUAGUGACCGAUAGCGUAUAGUACCGUGAGGGAAAGGUGAAAAGAACCCCGGGAGGGGAGUGAAAUAGAACCUGAAACCCUGCACUUACAAGCUGUGGAAGCACAUUUCUUGUGUGACCGCGUACUUUUUGUAGAACGGGCCAACGAGUUACGUUAAGUAGCAAGGUUAAGCACUUAAGGUGCGGAGCCGUAGCGAAAGCGAGUUUUAACUGAGCGUUCAGUUACUUGACGUAGACCCGAAACCGGGCGACCUACCCAGGAGCAGGAUGAAGCGAAAGUAAAAUUUCGUGGAGGUCCGAACCCACGAGCGUUGAAAAGCUCGGGGAUGACUUGUGGGUAGCGGUGAAAUUCCAAUCGAGCCCGGAGAUAGCUGGUUCUCCCCGAAAUAGCUUUAGGGCUAGCCUCAAGGUGA
RNAcentral lists this ribosomal RNA (499 nucleotides) under Clostridioides difficile. RNAcentral describes it as "bacterial LSU rRNA". It matches the Rfam family "Bacterial large subunit ribosomal RNA", at positions 390 to 890 of the family's 2925-position model. The record is from RNAcentral. Lineage: Bacteria; Bacillati; Bacillota; Clostridia; Peptostreptococcales; Peptostreptococcaceae.